This 274-nucleotide ribosomal RNA is filed under the name uncultured bacterium. RNAcentral describes it as "partial 16S ribosomal RNA". It matches the Rfam family "Bacterial small subunit ribosomal RNA", at positions 523 to 796 of the family's 1533-position model. The record is from RNAcentral.
AUACGGAGGGCGCAAGCGUUAAUCGGAAUUACUGGGCGUAAAGCGUACGUAGGCGGUUAUUUAAGUCAGAUGUGAAAGCCCCGGGCUUAACUUGGGAACUGCAUUUGAAACUGGGUAACUAGAGUUUAGUAGAGGGGAGUGGAAUUUCAGGUGUAGCGGUGAAAUGCGUAGAGAUCUGAAGGAACACCAGUGGCGAAGGCGACUCCCUGGACUAAAACUGACGCUGAGGUACGAAAGCGUGGGUAGCAAACAGGAUUAGAAACCCCUGUAGUCC